UGACUUUCCGUAGGUGAACCUGCGGAAGGAUCAUUA
This 36-nucleotide ribosomal RNA is filed under the name Aspergillus chevalieri. RNAcentral describes it as "partial 18S ribosomal RNA". The record is from RNAcentral. Lineage: Eukaryota; Fungi; Ascomycota; Eurotiomycetes; Eurotiales; Aspergillaceae.